UUCCUUUCAAAUUUCAAGUUUCAACCACCGCUACCACAGUUCUCCCGCACCUCAGCUCUCACCUGAUUCUAUUUCUUCUUCUUCUUCUUCUUCUUCCCUAAAACCCUCCAAUUUCCCCAAAAUCCCUCCCUUCCAAAUCCCCACUACCUCCUUCUCCCCCUUACAGAGUCAGAUUCCCCCAAAUCCUUCCAAGCCAACGGUCCAAAUUUUCAAUCUUUCCUCCAAGAAUUAGCCGACAUCUUUGAUCUUCCAAAUGACUACUUUGCGCAGCUUUCGAAUGAUCGCCGUCUCGAUGUGAUUACCAAAAAAUCGAUUUCGAGUGCACAGGUAGGCAAUAGUCCUUCUCUGCUUUAAAAGCCUCACUAAUUUAUCAUACGUACCGGUUCAAUUGAGUUGUGUUUUCUGCAAACGGAGGAUUUGUGCUAACUGAUGGACUUGGUAUUGCUUAGGGAGCAACAUGCCAGGACUUUACUUAUUAGUAAGUGUUAUCCAAUUUAUAACAUAGUGGGAUAAAUAUUGGAUGUCUGAUGAGCAAAAGAACAGAGGUAUCUUUGUCUUUUUAUUAUCGAGGACUCAAUGGCACUUGCUUCUAUAUUGAUUGGUCUUUGUACUCUAUCUUUCCAUUAUUUUGUUGGUUGGUCAUUGUGUGAAUUUAGUUCUUCAAGACUCCAAACAUUAAUGGAUCUCACAUAACUCUUUAUACAUGAUAAGCCUAUUGUAGGAGUAUGCAAGUGCAGAAAAUUAAUGGCGACGUGAAAGACUCGCUAAUUCAAAUGAUCCUUCGAUGGAAGGAACAUAAACACACGCACACACAAAUUAAGUGCUAUACAUGCAUAGGUACUCAUUUCUCUACACUUUUCGAAGAUCUUAUAAAUCUUUUCCCAUAUUUAUGCUUAUUGUUUCUCUCAAUGUACAAUUCAGCAGGUGGUGUAUAUUUCCGUCAACCUUUAUUCAUACUUGCAUGCUGAGAACUGUGGUAGAAGAUUACUGGUGAGAUGAGCAGUUCAAUAAUUCUACUCAUACGUUGCUCUUAACAUAUGUCAGUAUUAAUAUCGAUGAGCUUUCCCGUAGGGCACUCACAUUAUUCUGCCCUGCAUUUGUAUGUCAGAAUAUAAGUUCACUAUUGAUUAUCCACCAUUGUGUUAAGCAUUAGUAGAACCUAUCUGUCAUAUAGGAGAAAUAGAAGAUGCCAACGAAGGGGUCAGACAUGAAAAGUACAAGGAAGAACAGCGGAGAAAUGGAGGAUAUUAUGUUUAAUCGCUUUGAACAAAAACCAAAUCAGCCGUUACUGAUGGUAGUUGUAAACAAGAAUGUAAAAUGCCAUCAUUGGACACCUAAUAUGGUUGUAAAUAUGUAUCAAACUUUUUACAUGUUUUAUACGUUUUUAAAACCCGCAGCAACUUGCGGGCACUUAUACUAGUAUCAACUUAGCUUGAUAAAAGAUAUAUUUUAUAAUUAAGUUCGAUAAGAAUUCAAUUGAAGUUUUUGUUUUCUUGUACAAA
Pyrus x bretschneideri (Chinese white pear) is the source of this 1502-nucleotide long non-coding RNA. RefSeq lists it as uncharacterized. The transcript is spliced from 3 exons. Lineage: Eukaryota; Viridiplantae; Streptophyta; Magnoliopsida; Rosales; Rosaceae. The record is from RefSeq and is a predicted model, not a curated record.